CAGCCCUGCCCGUCGUGCGGGAGCCCAGCAGAUGGAGCAGUGUUCCUGUGCAUGAGGCGGUGCGGGGCUGCAUCCAGAGCUGCACUGUGCAGUCGAGCCGAUCUCCCCCUGAGCAUCUGUGAAGCAUGGAGUAAAAGUGGUGGAACUGAGCUCUGCUGCUGUGAAAGCACAGCCCGGCCGGGUUAUGUGCUGAGGGCUCUGUCUGCCCGGUUAAGGGCCAUGAAUCUCAGCUGAUGUACUCAGGGAGAUUGACUGCUGAGCCACCCUCAUG
Molecule: long non-coding RNA, 271 nt
Filed under: Gallus gallus (chicken)
Lineage: Eukaryota; Metazoa; Chordata; Aves; Galliformes; Phasianidae
Description: long non-coding RNA NONGGAT002207
Source: RNAcentral